RNAcentral lists this ribosomal RNA (397 nucleotides) under uncultured bacterium. Its description in RNAcentral is "bacterial SSU rRNA". It matches the Rfam family "Bacterial small subunit ribosomal RNA", at positions 29 to 419 of the family's 1533-position model. The record is from RNAcentral.
AACGAACGCUGGCGGCGUGGUUUAGGCAUGCAAGUCGAGCGAGAAAGUCCUUCGGACGAGUACAGCGGCGAAAGGGUAGAGUAAUAUAUAGGUAACCUACCUCUUGGACUCGGAUAAUUCCUGGAAACGGGUUGUAAUACGAGAUCGUCCUAUUGGGUCGCAUGGCCCGACUGGUAAAUGGUAGCUCUGCUUCUGCCGAGAGAGGGGCCUAUAUCCUAUUAGCUAGUUGGUGAGGUAAUGGCUCACCAAGGCUUUGAUGGGUAGCCGGACUGAGAGGUUGGCCGGUCACACUGGGACUGAGACACUGCCCAGACUCCUACGGGAGGCUGCAGUCGAGAAUCUUCCGCAAUGGGCGAAAGCCUGACGGGGCGACGCCGCGUGAACGAAGAAGGCCUUC